Molecule: ribosomal RNA, 790 nt
Filed under: uncultured archaeon
Lineage: Archaea
Description: bacterial SSU rRNA
Rfam family: Archaeal small subunit ribosomal RNA
Source: RNAcentral
ACUGCUCAGUAACACGUAGUCAACAUGCCCAGGGGACGUGGAUAACCUCGGGAAACUGAGGAUAAACCGCGAUAGGUCAUAAUAUCUGGAAUGAUUUCUGGCUAAAAUCUAUAUGGCCCCUGGAUUGGACUGCGGCCGAUCAGGCUGUUGGUGAGGUAAUGGCCCACCAAACCUAAAACCGGUACGGGCUCUGAGAGGAGAAGCCCGGAGAUGGGCACUGAGACAAGGGCCCAGGCCCUAUGGGGCGCAGCAGGCGCGAAAACUCUGCAAUAAGCGAAAGCUUGACAGGGUUAUUCUGAGUGAUUUCCGCUAAGGAAAUCUUUUGGCACCUCUAAAAAUGGUGCAGAAUAAGGGGUGGGCAAGCCUGGUGUCAGCCGCCGCGGUAAUACCAGCACCCCGAGUGGUCGGGACGAUUAUUGGGCCUAAAGCAUCCGUAGCCGGUUCUACAAGUCUUCCGUUAAAUCCACCUGCUUAACAGAUGGGCUGCGGAGGAUACUAUGGAGCUAGGAGGCGGGAGAGGCAAGCGGUACUUAGUGGGUAGAGGUAAAAUCCGUUGAUCCAUUGAAGACCACCAGUGGCGAAGGCGGCUUGCCAGAACGCACUCGACGGUGAGGGAUGAAAGCUGGGGGAGCAAACCGGAUUAGAUACCCGGGUAGUCCCAGCUGUAAACGAUGCAGACUCGGUGAUGAAUAGGCUUCGUGCCUCUUCAGUGCCGCAGGGAAGCCGUUAAGUCUGCCGCCUGGGGAGUACGGUCGCAAGACUGAAACUUAAAGGAAUUGGCGGGGGAGCA